AUGGAGAAAAAUUUGUCGCUGACCGAAGAGUAUUCCACUCUGAAGUCACAGAUGGAUGAUCUGACAAAUCCUCAUGAUUUUCUCUCAGCAGACCACGAAAGAUUGACCUAUGAUUACCUGAAAAGGAAACAGGAACUCAAGGCGCUAAGAGAGGCUCAUGAGGAUUUGGUCAGAGAAAAUUCUCUUCUCACCCAACAACUUAAAGAAAAACCCGAAGUGUUUGAGCCACCAUGUUUAAAAUGCCUUGAACGAACCAAUGUAGAAUCAAAUGUUGAAUCAUCUGUGAAUGCUAACCCCUCGGUCGAGGAAAAUGGUUCUGUUUCUGAUGAAAAUGCUAGGUUGAAGGAUCUUCUUCAAAUAGGAAUGUUCAAAUCUCUCAAAGGGCAUCAAACCCUUUGUGAUGUUUUGAAGAAAUCCAUUCUUCACAAAAAAUCCCAGGAAAGAAGGCAUCAGUUUUGA
Molecule: ribosomal RNA, 459 nt
Filed under: Triticum aestivum (bread wheat)
Lineage: Eukaryota; Viridiplantae; Streptophyta; Magnoliopsida; Poales; Poaceae
Description: partial small subunit ribosomal RNA
Source: RNAcentral